RNAcentral lists this ribosomal RNA (512 nucleotides) under uncultured bacterium. RNAcentral describes it as "partial 16S ribosomal RNA". It matches the Rfam family "Bacterial small subunit ribosomal RNA", at positions 28 to 523 of the family's 1533-position model. The record is from RNAcentral.
GAUGAACGCUGGCGGCAUGCCUAAUACAUGCAAGUCGAACGAGAGGAAGGAAAGCUUGCUUUUCUGAAUCUAGUGGCGAACGGGUGAGUAACACGUAGGUAACCUGCCCAUGUGCCCGGGAUAACUUCUGGAAACGGAUGCUAAAACCGGAUAGGUAGCAGACAAGCAUUUGACUGCUAUUAAAGUGGCUAAGGCCAUGAACAUGGAUGGACCUGGGGUGCAUUAGGUAGUUGGUGAGGUAACGGACCACCAAGGCGACGAUGCAUAGCCGGCCGGAGAGGGAGGACGGCCACAUUGGGACUGAGACACGGCCCAAACUCCUACGGGAGGCAGCAGUAGGUAAUUUUCGUCAAUGGGGGGAAGCCUGAACGAGCAAUGCCGCGUGAGUGAGGAAGGUCUUCGGAUCGUAAAGCUCUGUUGUAAGAGAAAAACGACAUUCAUAGGGAAUGAUGAGUGAGUGAUGGUAUCUUACCAGAAAGUCACGGCUAACUACGUGCCAGCCGCCGCCGUAA